AUCGAGCUGACGACUCCCAAAUAGAACGAAACGCGAGUCCUGGAU
RNAcentral lists this non-coding RNA (45 nucleotides) under Schistosoma mansoni. The record is from RNAcentral. Lineage: Eukaryota; Metazoa; Platyhelminthes; Trematoda; Strigeidida; Schistosomatidae.